UGUAAAGCUUUUGCGGUGUGGGAUGGGCCCGCGGCCUAUCAGCUUGUUGUAGGGUAAUGGCCUACCAAGGCGACGACGGGUAGCCGGCCUGAGAGGGUGACCGGCCACACUGGGACUGAGAUACGGCCCAGACUCCUACGGGAGGCAGCAGUGGGGAAUAUUGCACAAUGGGCGCAAGCCUGAUGCAGCGACGCCGCGUGAGGGAUGACGGCCUUCGGGUUGUAAACCUCUUUCAAUAGGGACGAAGCGCAAGUGACGGUACCUAUAGAAGAAGGACCGGCCAACUACGUG
RNAcentral lists this ribosomal RNA (291 nucleotides) under uncultured bacterium. RNAcentral describes it as "partial 16S ribosomal RNA". It matches the Rfam family "Bacterial small subunit ribosomal RNA", at positions 200 to 507 of the family's 1533-position model. The record is from RNAcentral.